AAAUACAGUACUAUGUUUUCAUUGUCUUGAAACAAAAGUCCUUCACGCACUCACACUCUCAUCAUACACUUAUGACUUGUUCUUUUGAAACAAGAUCUUCACAGAAUAAUUCACUCAUAUGUGCAUCACUUGGUUGUUUUAAUUUACUAUUUCUGACCUGUUAUUAUGAAAGAGAGGCUUCAUUCAAUCACUGUUGCAAUGACAAUUUCAAAGUGCCAAAUAACCAAAGUCAAAUGCAAGUGAUACCAAAGUCAAAUGCAAGUGAUGCAACCUUGACCGCAAUCGUAGUGCCAUCACGACAACAUCUUGAUUGUCAUUGUUUUGAAAACCAUGAUUGCAACUAUGAUAAAAAGUACAAUGAGAGAACAAAAACAAAACCCUAGAAACCCAAAAAUUGAAGUACCUUCAUGUUUGAGAGUAGCACUGGGGAUUCAAGAAACGAAGUCGG
Molecule: non-coding RNA, 448 nt
Organism: Cicer arietinum (chickpea)
Lineage: Eukaryota; Viridiplantae; Streptophyta; Magnoliopsida; Fabales; Fabaceae
Source: RefSeq, a predicted model, not a curated record